RNAcentral lists this unclassified non-coding RNA (373 nucleotides) under uncultured fungus. RNAcentral's name for it is "sequence contains ITS1". The record is from RNAcentral. Lineage: Eukaryota; Fungi.
GGGGUUAAACGGGGGAGUGGUGUAACUGAUUCCCACGCUUGCUCCCGGAGUGCCAACACCAAUGCCCGGAUUGCCGCUGAAUGGGCCGCCGUUGAGCGGGAUACUAACGUCAGCCCCGUAUGCCCCGUUGGCACUCGCCCCCCACCCGUCCGUCGGCCCGUCUGGGUAGUAGAGGGCUGACGCUCCGCCUCCAGGCACACCAACGCCAACAAAAAAGGUGAGACCGACCCCCUCUGGUCCCCAAACGAUGCCAACGCCACCCCCCACCAGAUAGGGCGAGUAACCUUCGACCAUGACCGACCCGCCAUAAUCGCCGUAGGGUGACGUGUAGGCGUACCCGUUCGAGUCGAUCCAAGAAUUGGGGUUGUUCAGC